Small nuclear RNA from Nycticebus coucang (slow loris), 134 nucleotides. RefSeq annotates it as U11 spliceosomal RNA. The transcript has a single exon. The record is from RefSeq and is a predicted model, not a curated record. Lineage: Eukaryota; Metazoa; Chordata; Mammalia; Primates; Lorisidae.
AAAAAGGGCUUCUGUCGUGAGUGGCACACGUAGGGCAACUCAAAUGCUCUUCAUGUGGAAUCAACAUCAAGAGAUUUCAGAAGCAUAAUUUUUUAGUACCUGGGUAUCCAGUGAUUGUUGGUCCCAGCUCUCAA